This 561-nucleotide ribosomal RNA is filed under the name uncultured bacterium. Its description in RNAcentral is "bacterial SSU rRNA". It matches the Rfam family "Bacterial small subunit ribosomal RNA", at positions 338 to 917 of the family's 1533-position model. The record is from RNAcentral.
CCUACGGGAGGCAGCAGUGGGGAAUCUUGGGCAAUGGCCUCAAGGCUGAUCCAGCCAUGCCGCGUGAGGGAUGAAGGUCUUAGGGUUGUAAAGCUCUUUUGUGCGGAAAGAUAAUGACGGUUCCGCUGGGAUAACCCCCCACUAACUUCAAGCCCCCAGCCGCGGUAAUACCAAGGGGGCUAGCGUUGCUCGGAAUCACUGGGUUUAAAGGAAGCGUAGGCGGGUCUUUAAGUCAAGGUGGAAAGCCUGGAGCUCAGCUCCAGAACUGCCUUUGAUACCGAGUAUGUUGAGUUCACUGGAGGUGAGUGGAACUGCGAGUGUAGAGGUGAAAUUCGUAGAUAUUCUGAAGAGCACCAAUGUCCAAAGCAGCACACUGGCCCGAUACUGACUGUGAGGCACGAACUGAUGGGGAGCAAACAGGAUUAGAUACCCUGGUAGUCCACGAUACCCUGGAUGAAUGCCAGCCGUUAAUGGGUUUACUCACUACUGGCGCAGCUAACGCCUUAGUGAUUCCGCCUGGGGAGUACGGUCGCAAGAUGAAAACUCCAAGGAAUUGACUGA